RNAcentral lists this long non-coding RNA (965 nucleotides) under Chloebia gouldiae (Gouldian finch). RNAcentral's name for it is "Erythrura gouldiae (Gouldian finch) lncRNA (ENSEGOG00005007049.1)". The record is from RNAcentral. Lineage: Eukaryota; Metazoa; Chordata; Aves; Passeriformes; Passeridae.
CAGAAAAUAAACUGGGACCAGAGUAUAUAACUGGGUGUCUCUGCCUCACAGCAAAGUGACCCCAGGCAUGAGGUGAUGUCUGCCAAAAACACCCCUUCUCAAGCUGUUGAAUGGUUGAAGCCUACUGUUGAUCCAAGUCCCUGGCAUCUGUUCCUGACCUUUGACUUAUAUCUUGGCUCUGGCUCACAACCUUUGGAUCAUAUCCUGGCUCUGGAUUCUGCUUCUUGGCAGCUUGUUUGGUUCCUGUCUUUGGCUUCAGCCUUGGCUUGUAUUCUGGUCCUGGCUCCAGACCCUGGGCUGUUAGCCUGCACCUUUGAGUUCAAGAAACACUUCUUCAGUCCUACUUCAUGACAUGCCACAUUACCUGGAGUACGAGAACACUUCUCCUGCAAGCACUUGACUUCAGUAAUAUUCCUGUGUCUCAUCCUGUGUAGGGACUGACUAUCCUAAUUUUUGUGUAUAUGUACUAUUGCAGUGCCUGAUCUAGAGAGAAAUGACAAAUGUUUGUUCUUAACAAAAGACAAGCCGUUUGGAAACCAUUAAAAUUUGUUUAAGAGAGUGAUGCAGAUGAAUACACUCUUUCAUGCUAACUGAUAUGAAGGGAAACAGAAAACUUUUUCAGAAAGAAGAAGAACUUAUGCUGAUGUGGUUAGAAAUAAGAUAUCACUGUAUAAGGAAAAUUUUGAUGUUUAAAGAUCCUCAGCAAGGUAAGCUGGCUUCUAUCCAUUUAGGUCUGGUUCUGAGUAUGUUGGGGCACUGUAUUUUACUCUCUUUAUUGUCCUGCCUGAGACAAAGACAUUAUGUUAUCUCAUUUUGAUUCUGCUAAUCCAUGACAGACAGAUUUACUUUAACUGGUCCUUCCCCCAGCUGCAGUUCACCUGCCUGGGGAAAUGUGACGUAUCCCAGUAGAACAAACAUUUAUUACAAUAUGUAGCUCCAAGGAACCAUAAAAAAAACCACCUCUU